CGAGUACGAGACGCUAAGGCGUCGAAGUAGUGUAUGUCAGACUUCCAAGAAAAGCUCGCAAUGUCAUAUGAUAAAAAAUGCCUGUACCAUAACCGACACAGGUGGGUAGGUAGAGUAUACUAAGGGGCGCGAGAUAACUCUCUCUAAGGAACUCGGCAAAAUAACUCCGUAACUUCGGGAGAAGGAGUGCCUUAUUCUAUAAGGUUGCAAUAACAAGAUCCAAGCAACUGUUUAUCAAAAACACAGGUCUCCGCUAAGUCGUAAGACGAUGUAUGGGGGCUGACGCCUGCCCAGUGCCAGAAGGUUAAAGAAGUCGGUUAGCAUUAGCGAAGCUGGUAACUGAAGCCCUGGUGAACGGCGGCCGUAACGAUAACGGUCCUAAGGUAGCGAAAUUCCUUGUCGGGUAAGUUCCGACCCGCACGAAAGGCGUAAUGAUUUGGAUACUGUCUCGGAGAGGGGCUCGGUGAAAUAGACUUGUCUGUGAAGAUGCGGACUACCUGCACCAGGACAGAAAGACCCUAUGAAGCUUUACUGUAACUUGAAAUUGAAAUUGGACUUUAUUCGCGCAGUAUAGGUGGGAGGCGUUGAUUAUAAUCUUGCGGGAUUAUUGGAGCCAUCAGUGAGAUACCACUCUUGUAAUGUUAGAUUUCUAACUUUGAAUCAUUAUCUGGUCAAAGGACAGUUUCAGGCGGGCAGUUUGACUGGGGCGGUCGCCUCCUAAACGGUAACGGAGGCGUACAAAGGUUUCCUCUGAACGGGUAGAAAUCGUAUCUAGAGUGUAAAGGCAUAAGGAAGCUUGACUGUGAGACCUACAAGUCGAGCAGGGACGAAAGUCGGUCUUAGUGAUCUGACGGUACUGAGUGGAAAGGCCGUCACUCAACGGAUAAAAGUUACUCUAGGAUAACAGGCUGAUCUCCCCCAAGAGUUCACAUCGACGGGGAGGUUUGGCACCUCGAUGUCGGCUCAUCGCAUCCUGGGGCGGUAGUACGUCCCAAGGGUUGGGCUGUUCGCCCAUGAAAGCGGUACGCGAGCUGGGUUCAGAACGUCGUGAGACAGUUCGGUCCAUAUCCGGUGUAGGCGUUAGAAUAUUGAGAGGAGCCUUCUUUAGUACGAGAGGACCGAGAAGGACAUACCUCUGGUGUACCAGUUAUCGUGCCAACGGUAAACGCUGGGUAGCUAUGUAUGGAGUGGAUAACCGCUGAAAGCAUCUAAGUGGGAAGCCCACCUCAAGAUAAGUAUUCUCAGC
RNAcentral lists this ribosomal RNA (1246 nucleotides) under metagenome. RNAcentral describes it as "bacterial LSU rRNA". It matches the Rfam family "Bacterial large subunit ribosomal RNA", at positions 1564 to 2818 of the family's 2925-position model. The record is from RNAcentral.